UGGGGAUGGAUGCCGCAGUUACAACUGACGCCAAGUGAUGGACGAAGUCUUACCCGGUGGUUUGCUUGUAAUUGUUGCGGACACGGUACAGGUGUGAACACAGGGCCUCCUAUCUUGGGAAUUACCUGUGGAAAGGCCACAGUAUGCGCUUUCCAUUGUGUUUAUCGUGAAGGCAGGACAGCUCCGGAUCGGAGUGCAGAUGUGUAUUCUCGUGACAAGCCCAGGUCCACCUCACUGGUUUCUCCUCAAUCCUGAUGAUUGCUCAUGGCCGAAAAUUCGGUGGUGAUUAUUGAAUUUGCAGCAAAGAGACCACUUCCUUUGGUGAU
Sycon ciliatum is the source of this 326-nucleotide long non-coding RNA. RefSeq lists it as uncharacterized. NCBI's taxonomy places the organism in Eukaryota, Metazoa, Porifera, Calcarea, Leucosolenida, Sycettidae. The transcript has 3 exons. The record is from RefSeq and is a predicted model, not a curated record.